UACAGAGGUCUCAAGCGUUGUUCGGAUUCAUUGGGCGUAAAGGGUGCGUAGGCGGCGCGGUAAGUCGGGUGUGAAAUCUCGGGGCCUAACUCCGAAACUGCAUUCGAUACUGCCGUGCUUGAGGACUGGAGAGGAGACUGGAAUUUACGGUGUAGCGGUGAAAUGCGUAGAUAUCGUAAGGAAGACCAGUGGCGAAGGCGGGUCUCUGGACAGUUCCUGACGCUGAGGCACGAAGGUCAGGGGAGCAAACGGG
This 253-nucleotide ribosomal RNA is filed under the name uncultured bacterium. Its description in RNAcentral is "partial 16S ribosomal RNA". It matches the Rfam family "Bacterial small subunit ribosomal RNA", at positions 524 to 776 of the family's 1533-position model. The record is from RNAcentral.